Molecule: ribosomal RNA, 448 nt
Filed under: uncultured bacterium
Lineage: Bacteria
Description: bacterial SSU rRNA
Rfam family: Bacterial small subunit ribosomal RNA
Source: RNAcentral
GAUGAACGCUAGCUACAGGCUUAACACAUGCAAGUCGAGGGGCAGCAUGGUCUUAGCUUGCUAAGACUGAUGGCGACCGGCGCACGGGUGAGUAACACGUAUCCAACCUGCCGUCUACUCUUGGACAGCCUUCUGAAAGGAAGAUUAAUACAAGAUGGCAUCAUGAGUCCGCAUGUUCACAUGAUUAAAGGUAUUCCGGUAGACGAUGGGGAUGCGUUCCAUUAGAUAGUAGGCGGGGUAACGGCCCACCUAGUCUUCGAUCGGAUAGGGGUUCUGAGAGGAAGGUCCCCCACAUUGGAACUGAGACACGGUCCAAACUCCUACGGGAGGCAGCAGUGAGGAAUACUUGGUCAAUGGGCGAGAGCCUGAACCAGCCAAGUAGCGUGAAGGAUGACUGCCCUAUGGUGUAAACUCUUUAUAAAGGAAUAAAGUCGGGUAUGGAUACCCG